UCUCCUGAAGGAACGUUGAAGACGACGACGUUGAUAGGCCGGGUGUGUAAGCGCAGCGAUGCGUUGAGCUAACCGGUACUAAUGAACCGUGAGGCUUAACCUUACAACGCCGAAGAUGUUUUG
RNAcentral lists this ribosomal RNA (123 nucleotides) under Salmonella enterica subsp. enterica serovar Muenchen. Its description in RNAcentral is "partial Large subunit ribosomal RNA". The stretch from base 1 to 103 matches the Rfam family "Bacterial large subunit ribosomal RNA", at positions 2823 to 2925 of the family's 2925-position model. The record is from RNAcentral. Lineage: Bacteria; Pseudomonadati; Pseudomonadota; Gammaproteobacteria; Enterobacterales; Enterobacteriaceae. RNAcentral also lists the same sequence under 1 other name.